This 58-nucleotide transfer RNA is filed under the name Ailuropoda melanoleuca (giant panda). It matches the Rfam family "tRNA", at positions 8 to 63 of the family's 71-position model. Rfam says of the family: Transfer RNA (tRNA) molecules are approximately 80 nucleotides in length. Lineage: Eukaryota; Metazoa; Chordata; Mammalia; Carnivora; Ursidae. The record is from Rfam by way of RNAcentral.
UGGCUCAGUCGGUGGAGCAUGAGACUCUUGAUCUCAGAGCUGUGGGUUCGAACCCCAC